Non-coding RNA from Thermodesulfovibrio sp. RBG_19FT_COMBO_42_12, 238 nucleotides. The record is from Rfam. NCBI's taxonomy places the organism in Bacteria, Pseudomonadati, Nitrospirota, Thermodesulfovibrionia, Thermodesulfovibrionales, Thermodesulfovibrionaceae.
AGAAGCCAGUCUGACAAAGUUAGCCGACCGUCAGAACCGAGUCUUGCGCUUAUGAUGGUAACAUCAUGAGUGAAGCGUAGACAGGGAGGCAGCAGGCCGUAAUCCGUAAGGGUGAAGGUGUCCAGCUCCGAAAAUGCUUAUGUUGUGGAGCAAGUCGACGUGGUUAGGAACGCGGAAGACAGCAACGAAGCCAUCGCUACAGGCGAGAUGGCGAAUACUCCACCGGGGUCAUAGUCCA